GUCUUGGGGAGCCAGGCCCAGGGUUGGGGUCUCAGAAGGCAGUGCUGUUGGGGCAUCUGCACCAUGGCCUGGGCUCUGGUCCUCUUCGGUCUCCUCACUCAGGACACAGGGUCCUGGGCCCAGUCUGCCCUGAAUCAGCCUCCCUCAGUGUCCGGGGAUCUGGGACGCACAGUCACCAUCUCCUGUGCUGGCACCAGCAAUGACAUUGGGAGAUAUAAUUACGUCUCCUGGUACCAACAGCUCGAAGGCACAUCCCCCAAACUCCUGAUUUAUAGUGUAAAUUCCCGGCCUUCAGGGAUCCCUGAUCGCUUCUCUGGCUCCAAGUCUGGCAACACGGCCUCCUUGACCAUCUCUGGGCUCCAGGCUGAAGAUGAGGCUGAUUAUUACUGUUGCUCAUAUGCUAGUAGUAAUACUCUCCACAGUGGUUCAAGUUUAUGGGGAAGUGAGACCAAAACCUUCUCUGUACUCACAGGCUCCCUCCUUGCUCUGAAGAUGCUUCCAACCCUGUGCAGAGGGGACUUCAUGCAGCAUGGUCUUGAGAAUUCAGGUCUCUGUUCCUCUUCCUUCUCAAGAUAAAGUAAAAUGAAACAC
Panthera uncia (snow leopard) is the source of this 591-nucleotide non-coding RNA. The record is from the annotation of a RefSeq genome assembly. NCBI's taxonomy places the organism in Eukaryota, Metazoa, Chordata, Mammalia, Carnivora, Felidae.